GCAUAAUGGAGAUAUUAGAAGUGUAUAGAUUAAUUAUAGCGAAACUAGAUGAGCUACGUAAAUAUAAUUAUUAGAUUAGUGUAUGUAACAUAAUAUAAAUAAAUAUAUACUUAGGGGUGAUAGGCCUUCCAAAUCUAGUGAUAUCUCGAUACUUGAGAAAGACAUUGAGUGUUUAAAUAAUUAUAUAGUGAUUAGGCUAUCUAAAAACAUGAAGAGUUUAAAAUUUCGGUAUUUUAAUUUAAUUAUUAAAUACUUAUUAUAAUAAUAUUUAUAUGAUUAUAUUUAUGGAGUUUAUUAAGUCUUGUUAUAAUUUGAAAAUAUAUUGAUAAUGUAUCUAUUAGUAAUAAUAUAUGUGUUUAAAAUGAACUCGGCAACCUAUCCUUCAACUGUUUACCAAAAACAUAGUUAUGAGUAUAUAUUCAUAAUGACUUCUGCUCAAUGAAAAUUAAAUAGCCGCAGUACCCUGACUGUGCAAAGGUAGCGUAAUAAUUUGGCUUAUAAUUGAAGUCCCGUAUGAAUGAAUACAUGGGGGAUAACUUUAUUUUAUACAAUAAUUGAACUUACUUUAGAAGUGCAAAGUCUUCUAGAGAAAUGAUAGACGAGAAGACCCUUGAAAUUUUCAAAAAUAGCAACAAUAACUUUUUGUUGGGGCAACAGAGUAUCACAUAAUUUACUUUAUAUAACACGCACAUAUUUGUGGAAGAAUAAAUUACUCUAGGGAUAACAGCGUAAUUUAAUAAAGUUUGCGACCUCGAUGUUGGACUAGGAAAAGAUUGUUCAGAAGACAUGAUAUUAAGCUCUGUUCGAGCUAAGCAAUCCUACAUGAUC
Molecule: ribosomal RNA, 828 nt
Filed under: Cristilabrum rectum
Lineage: Eukaryota; Metazoa; Mollusca; Gastropoda; Stylommatophora; Camaenidae
Description: partial 16S ribosomal RNA
Source: RNAcentral